Molecule: long non-coding RNA, 1036 nt
Filed under: Equus caballus (horse)
Lineage: Eukaryota; Metazoa; Chordata; Mammalia; Perissodactyla; Equidae
Description: lncRNA (ENSECAG00000031819.2)
Source: RNAcentral
AGGACCCUCUGCAGAAGCAGGGAGCUCUGAGUCUGCACCUGGCAGGGAACUCUCAGCUGUGGCAUCUGUGAGGAAGGAAGGAGGGAGCUCUCUGUCCCGGGGACAAUGGCCAGAUUCUGCUUCCUGCUGUUCGUCUCUGUGGCCACCAGAGGGUGGAGUGCAGCAGUGGUCCAGGCUCCUGAGAUGUUCCAGGUGGGCAAAACCUGUGCCUCCUCCCUUUCUUUCCUGCCUAGAAGCUGCAAGGAACUCAAAGAAAGUUGCAAUAGAGCAGGUGGACUCACUGAGAAAAUAUACCAAAAUGCACACCUUUGUGGAAGUGUCGUUCAACUUAGCUACCUAGACUUGGCCAACAUUUCUUCUCGUGACAGGCCCAGGGAAUUCCAAUCACAGCCAACGGGGAGGCCUGUGAAUUUUGAAACUGCAGAAUUUGUUCCAAAUUGGAAAGAGAAAACCAGAGAGGCAGCAGAUAUCCACAGGGGUGUCCUUGCAUCUCUGCAGUAAGGGAUACCAUACAACUGAGGAGAAGAAAAGCAGGAACAAUAGCCAACAAUGGUGCAAAUUAAACUGGCAAUAGAACAGGAAGAAAAGACAGCCUUCAGAGUGGCUUGGACCGCAGAGUGAAUUUUCAGCUGGAAAGUUAAAGAGAUCUCCUGUGGAAUACUUCCCACCCCAGCUACGGAAAGCCAGGGAGACUCCACAGUGGCAGCAGAGCCUAGUGGAAAUUAAGAACAGGUUGUUUAAUAUAUAUAUAUAUAUAUACACAUACAUAUAUAUGUGUGUGUAUACACACACACACACACAUAUGUAUGUAAACCCCAGCACACCCAGACUGAAAGUGAAAAAGAAACAGUGUUCUAUAAAGAGUGUUCCUUACCCACUCUGGGCCCAAAUCAUGACUGUGGUCAUCAUUGGGCACCAUUGGCCCAGAUAUUUGACUGUAACAAUGACGCAUGAGUUCUUUUUGAAGACAAUAGAGGAGUUAGCUGUGAAUCAUGGAGUGCUCAUUUUGGAAUAAGAACUAGUAGAUGAUUUAUUG